GAUGAACGCUGGCGGCGUGCCUAAUACAUGCAAGUCGAGCGAACGGACGAGAAGCUUGCUUCUCUGAUGUUAGCGGCGGACGGGUGAGUAACACGUGGAUAACCUACCUAUAAGACUGGGAUAACUUCGGGAAACCGGAGCUAAUACCGGAUAAUAUUUUGAACCGCAUGGUUCAAAAGUGAAAGACGGUCUUGCUGUCACUUAUAGAUGGAUCCGCGCUGCAUUAGCUAGUUGGUAAGGUAACGGCUUACCAAGGCAACGAUGCAUAGCCGACCUGAGAGGGUGAUCGGCCACACUGGAACUGAGACACGGUCCAGACUCCUACGGGAGGCAGCAGUAGGGAAUCUUCCGCAAUGGGCGAAAGCCUGGCGGAGCAACGCCGCGUGAGUGAUGAAGGUCUUCGGAUCGUAAAACUCUGUUAUUAGGGAAGAACAAAUGUGUAAGUAACUAUGCACGUCUUGACGGUACCUAAUCAGAAAGCCACGGCUAACUACGUG
Molecule: ribosomal RNA, 497 nt
Filed under: uncultured bacterium
Lineage: Bacteria
Description: partial 16S ribosomal RNA
Rfam family: Bacterial small subunit ribosomal RNA
Source: RNAcentral